Ostrea edulis (European flat oyster) is the source of this 351-nucleotide long non-coding RNA. RefSeq lists it as uncharacterized. The transcript is spliced from 3 exons. The record is from RefSeq and is a predicted model, not a curated record. NCBI's taxonomy places the organism in Eukaryota, Metazoa, Mollusca, Bivalvia, Ostreida, Ostreidae.
AGGAAAAUGAAGAAUGUGGAGUUUAUAAUGCACUUUGCAAUCACAACACGUGUCAAUGUAGGAGUGGUCAUUAUGGAUUUGAUGGGAAUUGCAUCAGAGAAAACGUUUCGUUUGCAUGGCCAUGCCUAAUCAACAGACAGUGUGAGUGGUUUGGAGGAACGUGUAAAAAUGGCGGAUGUGGAUGUCCUUAUGGUCAUUACCUUUGGAACGACACAUGCAUAAAAAAAAACAUUACAUUUGGAUCAGCAUGCCUGACCAACAGUCAAUGUCGUGCAUUUGGAGGAACAUGUCAAAAUGGCCAAUGUAGAUGUCCUUACGGAUAUUUCUUAUUGAACAACAGAUGUACAGUAG